UAUGGCUCAGAAUGAACGCUGGCGGCAUGGAUUAGGCAUGCGAGUCGAACGAGAAAGCGCCCUCGGGCGCGAGUAAAGUGGCGAAAGGGUGAGUAACACGUGAGGAACCUGCCCCCUGGCCCGGAACAAGCCUGUGAAAACGGGUCUGAAACCGGAUGAGGCCCCUUCCCGCAUGGGAAGUCAGCCAAAUAUUCAUAGCCAAGGGAUGGCCUCGCGGCCCAUUAGCUAGUUGGCGGGGUGACGGCCCAUCAAGGCUACGACGGUAGGUGGUCUGAGAGGAUGGUCACCCACACUGGGACUGAGACACUGCCCAGACUCCUACGGGAGGCUGCAGUCGAGAAUCUUCCGCAAUGGGCGCAAGCCUGACGGAGCGAUGCCGCGUGAGGGACGAAGGCCUUCGGGUCGUAAACCUCUGUCGAGGGGAACGAACGCAAUGACGGUACCCCUCAAGAAAGCCACGGCUAACCACGUGCCAGCCGCAGC
Molecule: ribosomal RNA, 483 nt
Filed under: uncultured bacterium
Lineage: Bacteria
Description: bacterial SSU rRNA
Rfam family: Bacterial small subunit ribosomal RNA
Source: RNAcentral